Molecule: ribosomal RNA, 449 nt
Filed under: uncultured bacterium
Lineage: Bacteria
Description: partial 16S ribosomal RNA
Rfam family: Bacterial small subunit ribosomal RNA
Source: RNAcentral
AACGAACGCUGGCGGCAGGCCUAACACAUGCAAGUCGAGCGAGGACUUCGGUCCUAGCGGCGGACGGGUGAGUAACGCGUGGGAACGUGCCCCUUGGUACGGAAUAGCCCCGGGAAACUGGGAGUAAUACCGUAUGAGCUCUACGGAGGAAAGAUUUAUCGCCAAGGGAUCGGCCCGCGUUGGAUUAGGGAGUUGGGGGGGUAAUGGCCUACCAAGCCGACGAUCCAUAGCUGGUUUGAGAGGAUGACCAGCCACACUGGGACUGAGACACGGCCCAGACUCCUACGGGAGGCAGCAGUGGGGAAUCUUAGACAAUGGGCGCAAGCCUGAUCUAGCCAUGCCGCGUGAGCGAUGAAGGCCUUAGGGUUGUAAAGCUCUUUCAGCUGGGAAGAUAAUGACUGUACCAGCAGAAGAAGCCCCGGCUAACUCCGUGCCAGCCGCCGCCGUAA